ACACAUCCUCGCAGGAAACAAAUACCAGCUCCACAGGAGUGGCUAAAAGAGAGGCUCAAGGGCACAGAAAGGAGAGAAGCUUUCCAGGGAUGAAGUUACUACUGUUACCAUCAUUGACUACAAAUGAAGAGAUAGGCUGAGAGCCUACUCACUGCGAGUGGAUGAAGACCUUUAGGAUGACCCACUUCCACUUCAUCAGUAGAGCGAAUCUUUGGUCCCCGCCCUGUCCCUCCUGCUGGAGAUGCUGCAUACAAGGGCAUGAUGUCUGGAGUUCGAGCAUGCAUGUGGCCACCAUGAGGCAAGAAGCAAUGACGACACAAUUUCACUGGGUGGAAGAAUGACAAAGUCUGGAUUCUUGAUGAUACUGUUGCCGUCUGAAGUUGCCUUGGGACCGUAUAUUUCUGGGCAUCUGGUUACGUGAGCAGUACAUAUUCUUCUGGUUAAGACCAA
Sapajus apella (tufted capuchin) is the source of this 450-nucleotide long non-coding RNA. RefSeq lists it as uncharacterized. NCBI's taxonomy places the organism in Eukaryota, Metazoa, Chordata, Mammalia, Primates, Cebidae. The transcript has 4 exons. The record is from RefSeq and is a predicted model, not a curated record.